UUUCUGCCGAGGACGACCGGUCCGCCCUCUGGGUGAGUAUCUGGCUCGGCCUGGGCAUCUUCUUGGAGAACGUAGCUGCACUUGACUGUGUGGUGCGGUAUCCAGGACUUUUACUUUGAGGAAAUUAGAGUGUUUCAAGCAGGCUUACGCCUUGAAUACAUUAGCAUGGAAUAAUAAGAUAGGACCUCGGUUCUAUUUUGUUGGUUUCUAGAGCUGAGGUAAUGAUUAAUAGGGAUAGUUGGGGGCAUUCGUAUUUAACU
Molecule: ribosomal RNA, 260 nt
Filed under: uncultured dinoflagellate
Lineage: Eukaryota; Dinophyceae
Description: partial 18S ribosomal RNA
Rfam family: Eukaryotic small subunit ribosomal RNA (bases 97-260)
Source: RNAcentral